RNAcentral lists this ribosomal RNA (253 nucleotides) under uncultured bacterium. RNAcentral describes it as "partial 16S ribosomal RNA". It matches the Rfam family "Bacterial small subunit ribosomal RNA", at positions 524 to 776 of the family's 1533-position model. The record is from RNAcentral.
UACGAAGGGGGCUAGCGUUGCUCGGAAUCACUGGGCGUAAAGCGCACGUAGGCGGAUCUUUAAGUCAGGGGUGAAAUCCCGGAGCUCAACUUCGGAAUUGCCUUUGAUACUGUUGGUCUCGAGUCCGGAAGAGGUGGGUGGAAUUCCUAGUGUAGAGGUGAAAUUCGUAGAUAUUAGGAAGAACACCGGUGGCGAAGGCGGCCCACUGGUCCGGUACUGACGCUGAGGUGCGAAAGCGUGGGGAGCAAACAGG